RNAcentral lists this ribosomal RNA (527 nucleotides) under uncultured bacterium. RNAcentral describes it as "bacterial SSU rRNA". It matches the Rfam family "Bacterial small subunit ribosomal RNA", at positions 356 to 896 of the family's 1533-position model. The record is from RNAcentral.
GGGGAAUUUUCCGCAAUGGGCGAAAGCCUGACGGAGCAAUACCGCGUGAGGGAGGAAGGUUUUUGGAUUGUAAACCUCUUUUUUAAAGGAAGAAGAAAGUGACGGUACUUUAAGAAUAAGCAUCGGCUAACUCCGUGCCAGCAGCCGCGGUAAUACGGAGGAUGCAAGCGUUAUCCGGAAUCAUUGGGCGUAAAGCGUCCGCAGGUGGUUAAUCAAGUCUGCUGUUAAAGACAGAAGCUCAACUUCUGGUCGGCAGUGGAAACUGGUGAACUAGAGUACGGUAGGGGUUGAGGGAAUUCCCAGUGUAGCGGUGAAAUGCGUAGAUAUUGGGAAGAACACCAGUGGCGAAGGCGCUCAACUGGGCCGUAACUGACACUCAGGGACGAAAGCUAGGGUAGCGAAAGGGAUUAGAUACCCCUGUAGUCUUAGCUGUAAACGAUGAACACUAGGCGUUGCUUGUAUCGACCCGAGCAGUGCCGUAGCCAACGCGUUAAGUGUUCCGCCUGGGGAGUACGCACGCAAGUGUG